CCUUAAGAACAUUUGUCCCCGAAUGUUCCUCAACUAGCACAUGCAAGGCAUACAACAUAUCAUACACAUAAAACACAUGAAACAUAUAAGAAACUAACCUUAGAAAAGAUAAGGGUAUUGCUGGAGCAUGGACUCCCGUGUCUCCCAGGUGCAUUCUUCCAAAUUGUGGUGGUUCCAAAGGACUUUCACCAUCGGGAUUUCCUU
This 204-nucleotide long non-coding RNA is filed under the name Manihot esculenta (cassava). RNAcentral describes it as "long non-coding RNA (MESC_LNC002178)". The record is from RNAcentral. Lineage: Eukaryota; Viridiplantae; Streptophyta; Magnoliopsida; Malpighiales; Euphorbiaceae.